Prionailurus viverrinus (fishing cat) is the source of this 1813-nucleotide long non-coding RNA. RefSeq lists it as uncharacterized. NCBI's taxonomy places the organism in Eukaryota, Metazoa, Chordata, Mammalia, Carnivora, Felidae. The transcript is spliced from 4 exons. The record is from RefSeq and is a predicted model, not a curated record.
CUCUGUCUACACAGCUCUAAAACCACCCAGCGAGCUUGUCCAGAGUCAAAGAAUCAACUAUCUGCCUCACUAGUAAUUCUGUCCUCAGGACUGUUUUAUGGGGAUCCCACUGAAAAUGAUGGCAGACAUUUUGGGGCAAGAUAGGACUUUGGGGCUGCUCCACCACUUCUGCUUGGUGUAGUGGAAAGAGCGCUGGACCCAGGCAGACGUAAGUUCAAAUCCCGUCAAUGGCCACCCACCAGCUGUCCAACCACAGACGACGUGCUCCCAUUCUUCCAGUGUCCUUUUUUGUACCUGUAAGAUGGGGAAUCAUUUCUACUACCCGUAAGAUGAGGUAUGCGGUAAGAAUUAAACAGCCUAUAUAAAAACACAGUGUAGGUCCUGAUGCAUAGAAGCAACGGAUAAUCGUUACUUUCUAUCCACUUACAGAAGAAAACGAAGCUGGAGAGGUUAAGGGAAUUGCUCAAAGUAACAGCUAGUAAACGGCAGAACUGAGACUUCAUUUAUUUUACAAACAUUAUUGAACACCUACUAUAUGCCAGUGCCUCAGGCAUAGGAAAGUGGAUAAGUCCUAAUUCUAGUUCUCGAAAUGUUCACAGUAGAGUGCCAGAGCCUGAAACGCAAAUAAUCAAUUACAGUCUAGCAUGAUGUGAAAAGCAAGACGUAUUUAGGGAAUGUCCUAAAGCCAGGGGUGAGCCCAGGUAUCGACACAGGAAGCGAGUCUUAAGAAGAGGACCCUUCAGAGGAAGCAGCCACGGAGUUCAAGCUGGAAUAUACAUCAGCAGGUGGACGCUGCAGCCAAGAGGGGAUUCGAGGGACAGGCCAUGAACCACAAGGAAAGACUGAAAAAGUGUCACAGACCAGCAGCUAUGGAGACUUGAUGAUCAAACGUUAUGUGGAUCGUGGACGGGAUUCUGGAACAGAAAAAGAAAGGGUAUUACUGAAAUCUAAAUAAAGUCUGGAGGUGCAAAAUGAAGGAGCUGCCUUUCUUAAGCAUCUCUUCCCCAGGCUAGUAUUCCAGGCUCUACGUGUGCAACGGUCACCCCUAAAAGGUGUGCCCACCUUCAUUCUUUUUUUUCCAUCCCUUCCCCAACCACCGCCAGCUCCUCGGGUCAGACAGCUCAACCGGAGGCUACAGAAUGUUCAGGAAGGGGCCAGCCUUGGCUUUGCAUUUUCAGGCUUCCUCACACGACAGCUCAAAUCAGACCCCCUACCCCAGCCCCCUUACCGGCAGGAGGGGAAAUAUGAAAUCUCAGCAGGCAAGGAGGUUUUUUAUGCUUCUGUAAAUCAUUAAAGUGGCCAAUAUUUCCCUUUGCUGCACUUCUCCCACCUCACAAUAUUUUUUUUUCCUGCAGUGAAAUCCAUUCGCCCAGCCUGGAAAUGUGGUCACUUUAUAGAAAAUCUUUAGCUUGUACCAGCACAAAUGGAUGGGUCUUAUUUCCUGUCUACAGUUCAUGGUGUUGCAAAGGCAUUGCCAAAAACUAUUGACUGAGACAUAAAAGCAAGAAAUGGAUGGAAAUGAACGUGGGCACGUUCGCGUGUACAUUUACAAACACACAGAGACGAACGUGAUCAAGUCUACACUCAAAGGAAGAGAUUCCCUGAAGGGACGUCCUAAUUCAUAACUCAGCCCCCUACCCUGCCCAUGUUCAGAAUCUAUCUCACACUCUGGAGGAGGGAGAAGAGGGUAGGACCAGGCAAUGUGGUUUAGAUACUGGGGAAGGAACUCGGUCCCCGGUAAGUCUCCCUGAUCCCUGUGCCAUGAUGCUGGAAAUAACACCCUUAACGAUCCAUCCAUCUUGUAAUUUCAGAA